UGAUCUCUUCUUGAUAGGUGGAAAACCGGGUCAACAAUCACAUGAUUUAUAGGUUGUGACACGUGUGCGCAUCAGUGUAUCUGCAUUUUUAGCUUCAGCCUCGGUUGUCAAACUCUCUUUUGACGACGGAGGAGAUGAGAAAUGAUUCAGUUACCAGCGGUCUCUAAUUCGCUUGGUGCAGGUCGGGAACUGAUUAGCUGCUAUUUUUGUUCUUUUCAAUUUAUCGAUUAAAAUAUUUUAGCCAUGCGGCCGAUUGAUAUUGGUGGAAUAAUUGAAUGAAGAAAAAGCAAAUUAGAUCCCGCCUUGCAUCAACUGAAUCGGAGACCGAGGUGAGAGGUUGUAUGGAUCUUGUUUUUUAUCUUCAGAUCUCAGGUUUACAUACCAGAACUUCUAUUCUUGGUAGAUGGAUUAGUCUUUCCUGACAUAGAAUUUCAAUUUGUUAGAUUCCAUAAAUUGCACUAGAAAAUGAGUCCAAUCAUGGCCCAAAAAAGUAGCAUUUGUUUCAUCUUCUCAUUACAUCAUUGGUCAAUAUUUAUUCAUUUGAGCUUUAUAAUGGCUAUUUCUGCAUGUUGAAAGUUUCAUUUACCCCAAGUGCUCAAGCUUCAAUUUUGGCAGAAUGUUCUGUUUGUAUUGACUACUGAACUCUGUUAGACUUAAAGUUCACGAGGUGAGGCUCUUAGACAUUAAGCUUUAUUGGUGUUGAACGUUCACACCUUAUUGGUGUUGUUGUAUUAGAGUUUGCUUUGCCAGAGAGUAAUCUUCUUUUUCUUUGGCAAUUCUUUUUCUCUAACCAUAUUUAUCUUCUUCUUUAAUGAUAUUGUUAUUAGCUUAGCAAGCUAAACUUGAUAUUGAGUUAGCCAUUUUAGAUUUGAGUUGAGUCCUAAUUGGCAUUUGGGUUUAGUUCUACACAAAUCUUAUCUUUUUUGGUAAUUAGUUCCUCAAAAAUUCACUCUUAUUAAUAGCUUUUUCCUAUGUUAAAAGUCUUAGUGGUCAAUAUCUUGAAAUGUCAUUCUGUUUUAAUUUGAUUAUAAAUUCAAAUUAUCAAUAAAAUUAUGUGUAUUAGGACUAAUUUAGGUUUCAACGAUAGUGUGUUAUUAUGUGUUUAAAAGAUUUUGAAUUAAUGGUAAAGUAACAUUCAAUAACAUGGUAACUGGUCAUCAUUGAUAUUUAACAUAUUACUCUUUAGAUUAUAUCUUAUUGUUUAAUUUGCUUACUCUUCAGAGUAUAUCUGAUUGUUUAAUUUUGCAAUUAGGAAGCAUUGGGUUUCAUUCUUUCAAUAUGAAAUUGACAAAGAAAUGGAAUCGGUUUCUCUUCUCGUUUUUAAUGCAAACAUUUGUAUGUUCCGCCUAGCUACACCACAAAAUAUGUCGUAUAAGAAAACCCAAUCUUUCUAUAAACAUGGGGAUUUUUGCUUAAGGUGAUAUUUGACCUUAUAGCUAAUGCUUCUAGUUCGUUCAUUCGCGAGAGAGCGACACAUCAUUUUUACUUACGAAUUCGCCAAAUAAUCCUCUAUCAAAGAGGUCUUCUAUGACCUUCAGAAGAUCCUAACAUUGGUUGAUACUGUAACCAAGAUCAUGAUGAUUAUAGCAUAAUUUUUUGUGAUCGCCACAGAUACUAUCUCCCUUCAUUGCUCGUGGUUGUAAUUAUAUCUUUUGCUUAAUAGUUGCAUAAAUUUGACUAACAAAGGCAUUCACAAAAUAUUUGUUAUUCAAAUUAGGGUUCUUCUUGCGUUUUUUCACUCUAGAUCUUCUGGAUUCCCUUGUUAUUCUUCAUUGAGAUUUCUUCUCAAGUCACCUCCAUUGGUUGCCAAGGAGCUUGGAAUAAUCAAUUAGGAGUCAAUGGAAGGUGUUUCCAGAUAGGUUGAAGGAAUACCUUCUCCCAUUUUGUUUUCCUUGUAAGUCUUUGUUAUCGGGGUAUCAAGAUAUAAAAUGAAGCUUUCUGACAUCAUAUGGGAUGGGGGGUGUUUGAUCAUCUUCUCCUAAAAGGCCCGGGGAGCAUUUAGGUAGUCACACAUGUCUAGUUUAUAGGUUUGAUGACUUGUUCUUGCAUGUGAUCCAAGAUUGGUUAUAACACUAAUGUCUGUGGACACAAAGCGGAUGUUAUUGUAUAGAUGGGAGACUUGCUCUAUAAAUCAAUAGGAAUUAUUUGUUGAAUGUUGUUUUGUACUUUAGCUUGGUUGGCCUAGGUCACCUCGCUUAUCAUAACCAAACAAAGUUGGUUUGAGAAACUGAUUGAUAAUCCUAACUAGUGAAGCAAGAUGUUGGGAAGACCAUUGGUAAUUAGUUUAGGCUUAGAAGUCGUACCUUGUUUGGGUUAUGUCAAGCCAACAUGAAAGGUAGACUGACUGUGUUUUGCAAAACGGAGAGACUUUGGACUACAUUACAAAUCAUCCGAAGACUAGUUAUCUAAGGUUUUCCUAUGUCAUCUGUCAGAAUUUGUAAUUUUCAAGGUAGAAUGUGGUUUUGCUCUCUUAGUUUUACACUAUUAAUGUGAUUUCUCUCACUAAUUGAUGUACACAAUUUUGAAGCUUACAUAAGAGAAGAUAGUAACAAUCAUAAUGUACAGAGACUUUGCUGUGUCUACUACAAAUCUAAAAUGUAUUGCAAUGUCAAUAAGAAAACGAAAGAUAAAGAUAUGAGACACAAAAUUUUUAAUAUAGUUCAACUUGAUGAUCGAAAUACAUAUGUCCACAGGGUUGUUGAUUAAUGUAUAUUACAAUAGAAUAAUAAAGAUUUGCGUAGUGAUCAAAAUGUAUUUUGUUUUA
Long non-coding RNA from Mangifera indica (mango), 2764 nucleotides. RefSeq lists it as uncharacterized. The record is from RefSeq and is a predicted model, not a curated record. Lineage: Eukaryota; Viridiplantae; Streptophyta; Magnoliopsida; Sapindales; Anacardiaceae. The transcript is spliced from 3 exons.